AAGUCGUAACAAGGUUUCCGUAGGUGAACCUGCGGAAGGAUCAUUACUGAGUGAGGGCCCCUCGGGGUCCAACCUCCCACCCGUGUCUCCUGUACCAUGUUGCUUCGGCGGGCCCGCCUCACGGCCGCCGGGGGGCCUCUGCCCCCGGGCCCGCGCCCGCCGAAGACCCCCUCUGAACGCUGUCUGAAGAUUGCAGUCUGAGCGAAAUAGCAAAAUUAAUUAAAACUUUCAACAACGGAUCUCUUGGUUCCG
This 252-nucleotide unclassified non-coding RNA is filed under the name air metagenome. RNAcentral's name for it is "partial contains small subunit ribosomal RNA, internal transcribed spacer 1, and 5.8S ribosomal RNA". The stretch from base 1 to 46 matches the Rfam family "Eukaryotic small subunit ribosomal RNA", at positions 1786 to 1831 of the family's 1831-position model. The record is from RNAcentral.